RNAcentral lists this ribosomal RNA (434 nucleotides) under uncultured bacterium. RNAcentral's name for it is "partial 16S ribosomal RNA". It matches the Rfam family "Bacterial small subunit ribosomal RNA", at positions 29 to 507 of the family's 1533-position model. The record is from RNAcentral.
AGCGAACGCUGGCGGCAGGCCUAACACAUGCAAGUCGAACGAACCUUUCGGGGUUAGUGGCGGACGGGUGAGUAACACGUGGGAACGUGCCUUUAGGUUCGGUAUAACUCAGGGAAACUUGUGCUAAUACCGAAUGUGCCCUUCGGGGGAAAGAUUAAUCGCCUUUAGAGCGGCCCGCGUCUGAUUAGCUAGUUGGUUGAGGUAAUGGCUCACCAAGGCGACGAUCAGUAGCUGGUCUGAGAGGAUGAUCAGCCACAUUGGGACUGAGACACGGCCCAAACUCCUACGGGAGGCAGCAGUGGGGAAUCUUGCGCAAUGGGCGAAAGCCUGACGCAGCCAUGCCGCGUGAAUGAUGAAGGUCUUAGGAUUGUAAAAUUCUUUCACCGGGGACGAUAAUGACGGUACCCGGAGAAGAAGCCCCGGCUAACUUCGUG